GAUGAACGCUGGCGGCGUGCCUAACACAUGCAAGUCGAACGGAGUUACUUUGGUGAAGUUUUCGGAUGGAUCUGAUUUAACUUAGUGGCGGACGGGUGAGUAAUGCGUGAGCAACCUGCCCUCCAGAGGGGGACAACAGUUGGAAACGACUGCUAAUACCGCAUAAUGUAUUCGGAAGGCAUCUUCUGGAUACCAAAGGAGAAAUCCGCUGAGGGAUGGGCUCACGUCUGAUUAGUUAGUUGGUGAGGUAACGGCUCACCAAGACUGCGAUCAGUAGCCGGACUGAGAGGUUGAACGGCCACAUUGGGACUGAGAUACGGCCCAGACUCCUACGGGAGGCAGCAGUGGGGAAUAUUGGGCAAUGGGCGAAAGCCUGACCCAGCAACGCCGCGUGAAGGAAGAAGGCCUUCGGGUUGUAAACUUCUUUUAAGAGGGACGAAGAAGUGACGGUACCUCUUGAAUAAGCCACGGCUAACUACGUG
Molecule: ribosomal RNA, 482 nt
Filed under: uncultured bacterium
Lineage: Bacteria
Description: bacterial SSU rRNA
Rfam family: Bacterial small subunit ribosomal RNA
Source: RNAcentral